RNAcentral lists this ribosomal RNA (497 nucleotides) under uncultured bacterium. RNAcentral's name for it is "partial 16S ribosomal RNA". It matches the Rfam family "Bacterial small subunit ribosomal RNA", at positions 28 to 507 of the family's 1533-position model. The record is from RNAcentral.
GAUGAACGCUGGCGGCGUGCCUAAUACAUGCAAGUCGAGCGAACAGACGAGGAGCUUGCUCCUCUGACGUUAGCGGCGGACGGGUGAGUAACACGUGGAUAACCUACCUAUAAGACUGGGAUAACUUCGGGAAACCGGAGCUAAUACCGGAUAAUAUAUUGAACCGCAUGGUUCAAUAGUGAAAGACAGUUUUGCUGUCACUUAUAGAUGGAUCCGCGCCGCAUUAGCUAGUUGGUAAGGUAACGGCUUACCAAGGCAACGAUGCGUAGUCGACCUGAGAGGGUGAUCGGCCACACUGGAACUGAGACACGGUCCAGACUCCUACGGGAGGCAGCAGUAGGGAAUCUUCCGCAAUGGGCGAAAGCCUGACGGAGCAACGCCGCGUGAGUGAUGAAGGUCUUCGGAUCGUAAAACUCUGUUAUUAGGGAAGAACAAAUGUGUAAGUAACUAUGCACGUCUUGACGGUACCUAAUCAGAAAGCCACGGCUAACUACGUG